GAUGAACGCUGGCGGCGUGCCUAAUACAUGCAAGUCGAGCGAACGGACGAGAAGCUUGCUUCUCUGAUGUUAGCGGCGGACGGGGGAGUAACACGUGGAUAACCUACCUAUAAGACUGGGAUAACUUCGGGAAACCGGAGCUAAUACCGGAGGAUAUUUUGAACCGCAUGGUUCAAAAGUGAAAGACGGUCUUUCUGUCACUUAUAGAUGGAUCCGCGCUGCAUUAGCUAGUUGGUAAGGUAACGGCUUACCAAGGCAACGAUGCAUAGCCGACCUGAGAGGGUGGUCGGCCACACUGGAACUGAGACACGGUCCAGACUCCUACGGGAGGCAGCAGUAGGGAAUCUUCCGCAAUGGGCGAAAGCCUGACGGAGCAACGCCGCGUGAGUGAUGAAGGUCUUCGGAUCGUAAAACUCUGUUAUUAGGGAAGAACAUAUGUGUAAGUAACUGUGCACAUCUUGACGGUACCUAAUCAGAAAGCCACGGCUAACUACGUG
Molecule: ribosomal RNA, 497 nt
Filed under: uncultured bacterium
Lineage: Bacteria
Description: partial 16S ribosomal RNA
Rfam family: Bacterial small subunit ribosomal RNA
Source: RNAcentral